Molecule: ribosomal RNA, 519 nt
Filed under: Mesoplodon europaeus (Gervais' beaked whale)
Lineage: Eukaryota; Metazoa; Chordata; Mammalia; Artiodactyla; Ziphiidae
Description: partial 16S ribosomal RNA
Rfam family: Bacterial large subunit ribosomal RNA
Source: RNAcentral
AAUCAGUAUUAGAGGCACUGCCUGCCCAGUGACAAUCGUUAAACGGCCGCGGUACUCUGACCGUGCAAAGGUAGCAUAAUCAUUUGUUCUUUAAAUAAGGACUUGUAUGAAUGGCCACACGAGGGUUUUACUGUCUCUUACUUUUAAUCAGUGAAAUUGACCUCCCCGUGAAGAGGCGGGGAUAAUAAAAUAAGACGAGAAGACCCUAUGGAGCUUUAAUUAACCAACCCAAAAAAUAUAAAUUUAAACCACCAAGGAAUAACAAAACUUUAUAUGGGUUGACAAUUUUGGUUGGGGUGACCUCGGAGCACAAAAAAACCUCCGAGUGAUUAAAACCUAGGCCUACCAGCCAAAGUGUUAAAUCACUUAUUGAUCCAAUUUUUUUGAUCAACGGAACAAGUUACCCUAGGGAUAACAGCGCAAUCCUAUUUUAGAGUCCAUAUCGACAAUAGGGUUUACGACCUCGAUGUUGGAUCAGGACAUCCUAAUGGUGUAGCCGCUAUUAAGGGUUCGUUUGUU